AGACGCGUGCAAACACUUUGAGCACUGAAGGUCCGCAGGCCUCCGCAAUCACUGAGCAUUUGAGACAACUCUGGGGCCAUGCAUCCACCAGCUCUCAGUGCAG
RNAcentral lists this long non-coding RNA (103 nucleotides) under Pan troglodytes (chimpanzee). RNAcentral's name for it is "lincRNA". The record is from RNAcentral. Lineage: Eukaryota; Metazoa; Chordata; Mammalia; Primates; Hominidae.